UUCUUUGUUUUUUUCUUCUUAUACCUCCGUAGUUUAUUAUUUUUAGAUUAAUAUGAUAAAAUAACUAGAUUAUCAAUUAGUCUACAUAUUUAUACAUUAGACCCUAACCCGUAGCUAUUUUUUCUUCCGUAAAACAGCUUGGCCCUGAUUUUUUUAAAUAGCCAUAACUUUUUACUCGUUUGUCCAAAUCCAACGAAACUAACGCCCACUUCUUCGUUAUGAUCUCCUCUAUCCAUUAAUCCAACUCAAACAUGUUUUUGAAAAGUUUAAAAUUUAAAUUAGAUCAGAUUUGAAUUCAAACUUCGUUUGAUCAUAACUUGAGUUUCGUAGCUCCGUUUGAGUUGAUUCCUUUUGCAAAUCGAAGCUCUUGACCUAAACUUUCUGAUAAGGCCAAAUUCAUAUAAUUUUGGUACUGUUAGAAAUUGUUUUAUGUUGCAAGAGUUAUUUGCUUGGUUUUGAUGUUUUCCGAAUUGUCUUCUUCGAUCUUUCUGAUACUUUGAGUGAUUGCUUAUGUGUGGUUACUAUUGCUUGCUUACGAUAGAUUGACCGGAGUGUGACGAGUAGAACUAUCAAGAGUUUUGAGUGCGAAUCAUCUUCAUCAAUAUUGCAGGCAAGUUCGCACUUUGAUCAUAUCCCCUUUCAUACCCAGUUUUUAUGCAUUAGUUUCACCCUCAAACAUUGCAUGAGUAGGAUUGAUAACAUGUGGGUAUUGGGAAGUAGUUGAUGAGGUAGGAACCUAUUGCCCUGCAUUCAAACCUUGGGAGUUACUAUUACGUUAUGCUUAUAGUGCCAUGCUAUGCUCAUAGACGUGGAUUGGGUUUUGAGAGUAUUCAUGACAGAUGUGAGUUUGUUAUUAAUAGUUUACUUAAGGUGGCAACUUAAACACACAUCUGGGUGGAUUGAGGUACCUGGGUAUUCCAGGAUUGCCUGUCUAGGCACCUGGGUUGACUAGGAUUGCCUGUUUUUUUUAUGGACCGCCACCUAGGCUCAAAGGGAUCAUGAGAUUUUUCAUAGUAAAAACUUCCGUGUGCAGCCACAAGCUAUUAUGGGCUCUAGCAUAGUUGAUUAAGACGUGCGGACUCUUACAGGGUAGACUAGCAGAUGUAGGGAAAAGUGGGUGUAACGGUCUAUCCAUCGUAAGGUGCUAGCGCUUCUAAAAGACUAUGCCUCGGUCAUCCGUCUUCUCAAACACCAUGUAGUGCGAGAAACCAAACGGAGGCAAUCGAGUCUUGUGGGGAAAAGUGCGCAAACCUCUGCAGAGUGUAUAAACUAAUCAUGAUUAGCCGUGUCCCGGUUAUGGACAUCUUGAGUAUCUAGUACCUGAUUAUCAUGUGAAUCUCAUCAUGUUACUUUAAAUUAAUUUUGUUGGGUUUAAUGAUGUUACUUAAUUGGGAUUGAGAAUGCUGUCAACCAUUCUCAAUGUUCAACAACCACCAUGAUAGUUAAAUAAAACUUAUUCCUUUGUAGUAGGGAAAAAUUGGCUUUUCGCAAAAACAUAUAACCAUAGAGCUUUUCCACCAGCCAUAUAUGCAUGUAGUGACAGCCAUUGUUCAUCAUUCUCUAUGGUGUGAAUUUGCCAGUACAUUCAAUGUACUGACCCUCUGUGGCCGCAACGUCUCAUGUUGCAGGAUAUCUUACAACGAGUAAGUGAUACGUUAGGGUUACGAUUUCUACACUCAACUUUGCCGUUGGUGUUGAUGGGAAUCCACAACCUUGUUACUUCCGCUAUUUGUAUUGAGGUAAUAGUAUUUAUGUUACUUAUACAUGUGAUUUACCUCUGUUAUAAAUCCUCGAGUAAUGUGUGUGUCAGCAUACCGAUCCAGGGAUGACACUUAAGCACAGAGACUUGAUCCAUUCGGGUCGGGUCGCUACAAGAUGGUAUCAGAGCACGUGUUGACUGUAGGACGUGACCCCUAGAAACUGGCAAGCCCAUAGGAAAUAUUUUCUCUACAACUUUCUUUUCAAAAGGAUCUUUUACCUCUCUUCUCUUCUGAGCUUAUUCAAAUAUUCCCUUUUAGUUAGACCAUACCCCUUUCCCCUUUUGACCAGACGAGGAUUUGACUGAUGAGACCACUCUAAGAAGUACAAGAUAUUGGACAACUAAGACCGCUACGGAAUGAAGAGGGUUUUAUUGUGCAUCUGAAUAAUGGAAACUACAACACUUGAAGACUCCGAAGACUAGGCGAAUUUGAAGGCUCUGAAGAAUCCCUAGAUUUGUAUGACCUAGGAAGGCUACCCUUAUGGAACUUGACAGAUUAUGGAAGUUGUCAAUGCCCGAGAUCAAGGUGUGUUGGAGAAAGACUGGAACAUGGAGCAUAGGACUCAAGGUUUUAUCAAGAAACCCUAAGGCAGGAGAUAUCAACUGUGGAGAGAUAGCUCAUGGAAAUGACAAGAGCAGAAACACGGUUAUCCGUGAUGUCAUCACCCGCUAAUGCUAUUGUCACCGUGCUGAGUUAAGGAUACAUGUCUUUAGAAUAGAUUUGAUGGAAGAAGGCUGAUGGAGCACCUAUCAUAAGAUGAAGUUUUAGCCCUAGCCGAUGUAUCACCAGGAUCUGGAGUAGUACAUCAAGAAGUUUAAAAUGGAGCUCCAGGAAGUCGUAUUAGACAAGGAAGUAUUUCAUGAGGAACUCAGGGCCCUGGAGAUGAGAGUAGCCAAGCUGGAGGAGCUACAACCUUGAGAUACCGGAGAUUUGUCAGGAACUGAAGGACAUUAGGACCAUGGCUCAUGCCAAGGAUGUUGAAACCCAGAAGUUUGGAACGCAACUCCAGAAUAUUAAAGGACGUCAUGAGAGACUUCACGUCAAUAGAGAUGAUCUGGCAAAAGAACUGGAAAAGGACAAGCAUGAUUGGAAGAAGCCAUUGGAGGCAUGAAACAAGACUUGAUGGGUUUGAUGUCUUUGAAGAUUUAUUAACCUUUAGAAGACCAAACCCCUGUUAUAUACCUACGUUAGAUGCGACGUUUGUGAGCUGUCAUUUGUUUGAUAUUUUUCUGACAGCCACAGAUGAAAUCUGUCUUUUCAAAACCAUUGUUUGUAUUGUGUGUAUCCCUCUCUAUCUCUCUUAUAUCACCCCAAAACCCUUGGACCCAAUAGAGGAUGAAUGGAGAUGAGCUUGUAUUUUCUGGACCGAUGGAUUCAGAACAUGGAAGAUCACAUGGAGAAUAACCCUAUAGUUGGACAUGAUAUGACCCAGCAUGCUCUUUAGUGCUUUGAAAGAGGUGCUACUACUUGGUGGAGGAUGUACCAAACCAUCAAUGGAUGGCAAGGAGUAACCACUUGGAAAGAAUUUAAGUUGACUCUGCCAAAGUCUCGGCUUGUGCCCCAGAAGUUGAAGCCUUAUGGAAAGGAUAUGAAGAAACCUUGUGCCUGCAAGAUUUGUGGAGAAAUAGGACACACCCAUAAAGAACACAAGGAUGAAUGCCCUAAUUGUGAAGGAAGUCACCCAGUUGAAGAAUGUCCAACUAGGCAGAUUACUUGUUUCUUGUGUGAAGGGACUACCCACUAUCCUGCUCAGUUUCACAUUUACCCCAUGGUACAAUGAACCAUCCAACAGAAGAAAGAAGUAAUGAAAGGAGCCCUCAUGGAAAUUUUAGAAGAAACUUUGAUGAAGGAAAAGGUGGGGGACACACCCAAAGAAGAACCAAUUAAACCCUGCACCAAGUCAUGCUAUUCAUGUGGAGAAGAAGGACACAUCUCCCAAAAUUGUUUGAAUGGGGAUCUAGUAGAAUUCCCGACAGAGGAAGUAGAAUAUGACCACAAGAAAUAGAAGCCAUGAUUGGCAUGGAAAGGUCCAGGAAGAGAAGCAGAUUGGAUUCCUGGAAGGACCUGAGUCAUAUCACCUGUUACAGGUGCAAGGAGUCAGGGCACUACCUCAACAAUUGCCCAAAAAGGAAACCUCGAUACUUGUCAGAAGUAAUAUGUUUUAGUUGUAAUGGAGCAGGGCACUUUGCCAGAGAAUGCCCCAAGGAGAAGGAAACUUGUGCUAGAUAGUUGAGUUUGCAGAGUAGUAGAAGUGAGAACAUUUUAUUUUAUAUUAAGGUGUUGAGUUGAGACAUGUAAUGGAAAAGCGAGAGAUUGUAAUCACUUGAGAAUGAAUAAAGUUAGCAUCGUUGGUACUGAUAUGGAUCUUAUGAGGUGUUACUCUAUGAAGAAGAAUUUUGGCCAUUCUGAGGAUAUGAGAAAUAUGGUCUAUGGAAGAUUUGUGCAUUUUAAGGGUGGUAGUACCCUAUAAGAACCGUUGACCCCUGGAAAAGAUAAGGAUACUCCAGUGAGUGGAUUUCGGAUAAAAUGAAUACGAGUUUUGUCUCGAUAUGUGUGAUACCCCAAGAGUGUGUGGGAUGAAGUUGGAGACCGUCAGUUGUUUGGACCAAAUGUGAUCAAGGAGUUAGAAGACAAUGUUAAGUUGAUUCGAGAUAGACUGAAGGUAGCUCAGUCCAGGCAGAAGAGUUAUGUAGACUCAAAAACUCAAGGAGGUAGUCUAUGAAAUUCGAGACAGAGCAUGUCUUCGUGUGUCCCCUCUGCGAGGAGUUAAAUGAUUUGGAGUUAAGGAAAGUUAGCCCCGAGAUUUGCAGGACCAUACCGAGUUUUGGAGCAUAUGGGAGAAGUGGCCAACAAGUUGGAGUCACCCGAAGGACUGUCAGGAUUUCAUGAUGUGUUUCACGUUUCCCAGUUGAAGAAGUGCCAUGAAGAGAUGGCCAAUAUUCCCCUGUAAGGACGCUUGACCCUAGAAAGGAUAAUGAUGUUCCAUGAAGUGGAGUAUGGACUCCAUAAGUAUAAGUUUAUAUCUCGGUAUGUGGGAUAACCCACGAGGAUGAAGAGAUGAAUUACUAUUGGAUAUAAAGGAGGUAUGAUGUUGGUAUUAUGGAAUGAUUAUAACUCCAUGAUGAGUUUGAGUAAUCACGUCUUAGUCUUGUACAAAUAGAAGGAAGGAAGACAGUACAAUUGGAUGGAUUUAAGAAUACUAGGAAGUUGGAAGUUGGAAUAAUGAUCAGUUGCCCGAUGAUAAGUUCAAAGGACUACAAGUGAUGAGAUGGGACAUAACCCACAGGCCCCAGGACCUGCCAAGAAGCAAGCACAUUCUUGCUGAAGGAAAAACCCUGAAAGAAGUUACGAUUUUAUCGACAGACGAUCUUAUAGGAGUUACGCAAAACCUGAGAGUUGUGAAGGAACGAUAGAUGGUUGUUUGGCUUGCAGAAUCUAUGGAUUUAUCCGAACUUGGUUCGUCGACAAGAGAAAUUCUGCAAUGCUUGUGAGGAUGACCGAGUGUUAGAAUGCGAGAUUCACUAAAGCAUAUACAGGGUAAUGAUUUGGGUGCGGGAUGGACUGAUCAGCAUACCAACUUACUCUUAUUAUUCGCCUUGCUAUAUGGGAUGGUAAAUCUGAGUGACUUACCUAUAGUAGAGAGACGACGAUCAAAAUCCUGUUUAAACCUUAGAAUGGUAUAGCAAUUUUCCCUUGUAUAAGGCAGCUUUUGCCAACCGUAGGUUAUACGGUGAGGAUCAACCCAGACCCAUUUCCUACAGGACAAACCAUAAAUUGUUGACCACCAUGAGAUAUCAAUUAGUUGUUUAGUACUGGCGCCAGACCCGUCAGGUAAGAAGACCCAGUCUCAGAAUAACCUUACCAAGAUGAAAGGACAAAAGAAUUGAGGAAAAGGUUAUGCUGUUACCGGAAGAGCCCAGAGAAAGGAAUUAUACUGAAGAUCUGAGAAGACCGGCCCUGUCAAGAAUAAGGAUGGAGUAUAUGAGUAUUGAUGGGACCGUAACAGUCUUUCUAAGGGUGGUAGCACCCGAGACCCCGGAGACGAUCGAUGGAUUUUGAGAAGACCCCGAACCUAACCUAUUUCUUUCUAGCCUCUCCAAAUCUCGAGGACGAGAUUCCUUUUAAGGGUGGUAGAUUUGUAACAUCCCAAAAUUAUAAAUUUUGGAAUGUUAUAUUAAAUAGAUAGAUUUGAUUGAUUGUUUGAUUUGUUGACUGAAAGUGAGUGAAUUCGAACUUUUUGAAAGUUAAAUGAGAGGGAAUAAAAGGACUUUCCCAAACUUUCAUUUUUGCAUUUAUGAUCUCCGUGAAUUCAAAUUCUUUUCACCACAAAACCCUGGAGAGAAGAUGACAUGACUUCUUCCAUUUAUUUAAAUGAAAAGGGUUUCGAAAAGAUUUGAAUUUCAUUCGGAAAUAUUUCCAAUUCAUAAACUUCAUGCAACUCGAUGAUUUUCACGAGAGAAGAUAAUAUGACUUCUUUAAAAUAUAUGAAAUAUGGGUUGGAAGUUUUAAAAGAAUUAAAUUCAAAGUCCUUUUGAAAUUAUUUUCAAUUUGAAGUUAUUCGAGUUUUAUUCAAAUUAUUUUUCUCCAAAAAUAAAAUAUAUGGAAAAUAGGGUAACAUGAUUCCCUACAACAGAAAAUUGGAGAGAAAUAAAUUUGAUUUCAUUUUGGUAUUUUUAAAAUGAUUUUUGUUGGAUCUUAUUAGAGCAGGAGCACUGUUGGAAUUAUUAGAAUUUGUGUGUAUUUUACUUAAUGCUAGAAAAAUGUUCAUGUCAUAGAAAAUCUUUUUCUGAAAAUUGUUAUAUAUAAAAUGCCUAUAUAAAAUUUAUAUUUUACUUUUGUUAUUCAGUUUUCCCUUCUGUUUCUAUUUAAAAAAAAUGUACGUGCGACCCAUAUUUAUUUAUCGCCUACAUGCGCAAUAUAGUAGCUUUUGGCGCCCCAUUGUUUUUUCUCUCUUAAUAGGCCAGGCCCUGCCAGCCUUUUUUUUCUUUUUUUUUCUCUUAGGCCGAAUCUUGUAAAAAAACUGCACCACAGCGUGCGCGCGGCUGGCCGAAGGCCUUUAGGCCCAUCCGCCUCUUUUUUUUCUCUGUUUCGUAUAUUUUCGUCUACGUUUAGUCCCACAUUGCCUAGCCUUUGACCCCUAAUCCUCUUUUUCACCAAUAAAUAUAGACCCAUAGAGCCUCUAAAAAUUAUCCGAUUCGGGUUAAAUCAAUAUUUUGGUUUGACUAGAUUCAUUUAAGAAAAAUAUAUUUCUCCUCUCCGGUGCGACUUUUGGAAAUUUUCUCUUCUCUCCAAAGUCAUAUUUUCUCUGCCUUAUAAAGGUAUCUUUCUUUGUUUUUUUUCUUCUCAUACCUCCGUAGUUUAUUAUUUUUAGACUAAUACGAUAAAAUAAUUAGAUUAUCAAUUAGUCUACGUAUUUAUACAUUAGACCCUAGCCCGUAGCUAUUUUUUCUUUCGUAAAACAGCUUGGCCCUGAUUUUUUAAAUAGCCAUAACUUUUUACUCGUUUGUCCAAAUCCAACGAAACCAACACCCAC
Molecule: long non-coding RNA, 7293 nt
Filed under: Triticum aestivum (bread wheat)
Lineage: Eukaryota; Viridiplantae; Streptophyta; Magnoliopsida; Poales; Poaceae
Description: long non-coding RNA (TAES_LNC026019)
Source: RNAcentral